CGGGUCUCCUGGCGCUGCACCACAUUGGUCAACGUGGUCACUUGCGCCCGCAAUUGAUCCAUCUCGCUCGGUUCAGCCUGCUCGGGCACCUCGGGAAGCGGUGCCGGAGUAGACCUCGUGCUCGGGCGUCCUCUUGGUGCCAUUGGCUCCUGAAACGCAAGUACUUGGUUAAUUAUCUUAACUUGUUCACCUCGUCACAAUUAUGACACACAACGACUCAACAAUGAAAUCGGGCAGAAGCACACAAGUGUACUCGUUCUAGACUCUUGGUAUCAUGUCGUCGGCCACCGACACAACCACCUCAAGACAAGAACUCAUACCACUUGAAUCCGUCUCUAAUCACAACUAGAGACAUAUUACCAACUUCGACCCAAUCGAAUCAACUUCCGCCAUCGCUAUAGGUUCACGUUCCGCUCACGCACCUAUAACCUUAGGGCUUACCAACCUAGGGUCUCCUAGGUCAUCCUAGACUCUCUCUCUUUA
RNAcentral lists this long non-coding RNA (483 nucleotides) under Ananas comosus (pineapple). RNAcentral's name for it is "long non-coding RNA (ACOM_LNC028062)". The record is from RNAcentral. Lineage: Eukaryota; Viridiplantae; Streptophyta; Magnoliopsida; Poales; Bromeliaceae.